UCCCGCAGUGAAAUCAUGUUAAAAUUGGAAAAAUACAGAGUAGAUUAGCAUGGCCCCUGCGCAAGGAUGACACUCACAAAUCGAGAAAUGGUUCCAAACUUUU
Molecule: small nuclear RNA, 103 nt
Filed under: Volvox carteri f. nagariensis
Lineage: Eukaryota; Viridiplantae; Chlorophyta; Chlorophyceae; Chlamydomonadales; Volvocaceae
Source: RNAcentral